Amphiprion ocellaris (clown anemonefish) is the source of this 1333-nucleotide long non-coding RNA. The record is from Ensembl. Lineage: Eukaryota; Metazoa; Chordata; Actinopteri; Pomacentridae.
UGCAUUGUCGUCAAUUUUUCUGAAAAACAAAGAGGAAAGUGUGAAGAGAGAGAAAAGUAGGAAAGAGGAAAAGAGUAAAGUGUGAGAAAAAAGCAAAGAGAGAAGAGAGGAAAAAGAAGAAAGUUUAAGGAAAGAACAAAGAGAAAAAGAACAAAGUGUGAGGAAAGAGGAUAGAGGAAAAAAGACUAAGUGUGAGAGAAAGGGGAUAGAGGAAAAAAAGACUAAGUGUGAGAGAAAAGGGGAUAGAGGAAAAAAAGACUAAGUGUGAGAGAAAAGGGGAUAGAGGAAAAAAAGACUAAGUGUGAGAGAAAAGGGGAUAGAGGAAAAAAAGACUAAGUGUGAGAAAAAAGGGGAUAGAGGAAAAAAGACUAAGUGAGAGAAAAGGGGAUAGAGGAAAAAAAGACUAAGUGUGAGAGGAAAAAAAGACUAAGUGUGAGAGGAAAAAAGACUAAGGAAAGAGUGAGGAAAGAGGAAAAAGAACAAAGUGCUGCUUUACUCUUGUGUUUGAUUGUUUCAGAUGCUGAGAGAUCAAGCGGUGGACGUUCAUAGAGGAGAGGUGAGUUAGACAUUGUCACACAUUGCUGCUUUAUUCAUGUGUUUGUUUUUUUCAGAUGCUGAGAAGCCAAGUGGUGGACGUCCAGAGAGCAGAGAUCCUGAGAGAUCAAGUGGUGGACGUCCAGAGAGGAGAGAUCCUGAGAGAUCAAGUGGUGGACGUCCAGAGAGGAGAGGUGAGUUACACAUUGUCACACAUUGCUGCUUUAUUCAUGUGUUUGAUUGUUUCAGAUGCUGAGAGACCAAGUGGUGGACGUCCAGAGAGGAGAGAUCCUGAGAGAUCAAGUGGUGGACGUCCAGAGAGGAGAGGUGAGUUACACAUUGUCACACAUUGCUGCUUUAUUCAUGUGUUUGAUUGUUUCAGAUGCUGAGAGACCAAGUGGUGGACGUCCAGAGAGGAGAGAUCCUGAGAGAACAAGUGGUGGACGUCCAGAGAGGAGAGAUCCUGAGAGACCAAGUGGUGGACGUCCAGAGAGGAGAGAUCCUGAGAGAUCAAGUGGUGGACGUCCAGAGAGGAGAGAUCCUGAGAGAUCAAGUGGUGGACGUCCAGAGAGGAGAGGUGAGUUAAACAUUGUCACACAUUGCUGCUUUAUUCAUGUGUUUGAUUGUUUCAGAUGCUGAGAGACCAAGCGGUGGACGUCCAGAGAGGAGAGAUCCUGAGAGAUCAAGUGCUGGACGUCCAGAGAGCAGAGGUGAGUUACACAUUGUCACACAUUGCUGCUUCAUUCAUGUGUUUGUUUGUUUCAUAUGCUGAGAGACCAAGUGGUGGACGUCCAGAGAG